Molecule: long non-coding RNA, 1177 nt
Organism: Hippopotamus amphibius kiboko
Lineage: Eukaryota; Metazoa; Chordata; Mammalia; Artiodactyla; Hippopotamidae
Exons: 5
Source: RefSeq, a predicted model, not a curated record
GCUGGAGGUCGCUGUCUUUUCUGGGAAUUGGUCGAGCGCCACAGAAAGGGAAGUUGGUGAUGACAGAAGGCAAGAGAGAACCAUCAGAAGAACUGCAGCCGUGGGUCCGUCCUCUGUGUCAGGGUACUGUUUUAGGUACUGAGGACAUAGCAGAGAACAGAACAGGCUCAAGGAGAAGAGGAAAGUUCAGAAACAUAAAAAGAAAUAAAGAAAUAUUCAGAAGCAUCUGAAUUUUUGACCCUCUGAUCACCAGAAAAGGAAAAAGGGAAGUACUAUUACAUUUGCUACUGAUACUAUAAAACUGCCCUUGCCUAAUUUCAUUUCAGCAAGCCUUUCCUGUGAACCGGUAAUGUGCCAGGCACCAUGUGCAGGGGCACUGGCCCAAAAGUGAAGAAGAUGAGGUUUCUCUCCUUGAGAAGUGCAGUGUGGGAGACAGAAAGGAGGACCCAGAUGAUCCUGACUUGCCAUAGUGACUGUAGAGCUGAGAAGUCUCUGGAUCAAGCCACGUGGUCUGAGAACUUGUCCACACAGCUGAAAUUAUCCUGUCAGUAUCAUCCAGACAAUUUUGAGGACUCACUGUCACUCACUUAUUCUUUCAAGAAAGUUAUCUCUCCCUGGCACUCUGCUAGGUGCUAGAGAUACAAUGAAUGCACACAUGAUGGUGGCAGCUGGAGGAGUCGUCCUUGACCAUGAGAUGGAAGUCAUAUGCUGAGGAUGCCAAAGCAACCAGAUAGAGGGAAACUGGAUCCCCACCAGUGUGGAACAGCUGUAGCAGCCCCAGACUGUUAAACUCAGACUAUAUGUGACAAGUUGAUCAAUUUCUAACCUAUUUAAACUACAUUUUUUUUGGUCUUUAUCAUAGAAGGUACACCUGUAUUCUUAGUAACUGUUCCAGACUGAAUGUUUGUGUCCCCUCAAAGUUCAUAUGGUGAAAUCCUAAUACCCAGUGGUAUUAGGAGGUGGGACCUUUGGGAGGUGAUGAGGUCAUGAGGGUGGCGCUCUCAUGAAUGGGAUUAGUGUCUUUAUAAAAGAGGCUCCAGAGAGCUCUCUUGCCCCUUCUAUCAUGUGAGGACCCAGUGAGAAGACAGUCAUCUUUGAACUAAGAAGGGGGCUAUCACCAGACACUGAAUCUGCCAGCACCUUGAUCUUGGACUUUCCAGCCUCCAGAACUGUGAGA